AUUGAACGCUGGCGGCAGGCCUAACACAUGCAAGUCGAACGAGUGGCGGACGGGUGAGUAAUGGCUGGGAAACUGCCUGAUGGAGGGGGAUAACUACUGGAAACGGUAGCUAAUACCGCAUACCAUCAGAUGCGCCCAGAUGGGAUUAGCUAGUUGGUGGGGUAACGGCUCACCAAGGCGACGAGCCCUAGCUGGUCUGCGAGGAUGACCAGCCAGACUGGGACUGAGAAACGGUCCAGACUACUACGGGAGGCACCAGUGGGGAAUAUUGCACAAUGGGGGAAAGCCUGAUGCAGCCCUGCCGCGUGUAUGAAGAAGGCCUUCGGGUUGUAAAGUACUUGCAGCGGGGAGGCGUUACCCGCAGAAGAAGCACCGGCUAACUCCGUGCCAGCAGCGGCGGUAAGAC
Molecule: ribosomal RNA, 406 nt
Filed under: uncultured bacterium
Lineage: Bacteria
Description: partial 16S ribosomal RNA
Rfam family: Bacterial small subunit ribosomal RNA
Source: RNAcentral